UCUUUAUUUUUAUUAUUUGCCUUAUUUUUAUUGCUUUCAAUUUUAGAUUAAUUAAAUCAAUCUCAAAACCCCCCAUUUUACUUACAGUUUAGUUGGUUUCAGUUUUAUCUCAUUUUAGUUUAUUUUGCUUUCCGUUUAUUUCUCUUUCAGUUUUAUCUCAUUUCAGUUUUAUCUCAUUUCAGUUUAUCUCGUUUUCAGUUUUAUCUCGUUUCAGUUUUAUCUCGUUUCAGUUUAUCUCGUUUUCAGUUUUCUUCUUUUGCAGUUUAUUUUU
This 271-nucleotide long non-coding RNA is filed under the name Manihot esculenta (cassava). Its description in RNAcentral is "long non-coding RNA (MESC_LNC010940)". Lineage: Eukaryota; Viridiplantae; Streptophyta; Magnoliopsida; Malpighiales; Euphorbiaceae. The record is from RNAcentral.